This 465-nucleotide ribosomal RNA is filed under the name uncultured bacterium. RNAcentral describes it as "partial 16S ribosomal RNA". It matches the Rfam family "Bacterial small subunit ribosomal RNA", at positions 28 to 507 of the family's 1533-position model. The record is from RNAcentral.
GACGAACGCUGGCGGCGUGCUUAACACAUACAAGUCGAACGGAAAGGCCCUGCUUGCAGGGUACUCGAGUGGCGAACGGGUGAGUAACACGUGGGUGAUCUGCCCUGCACUUCGGGAUAAGCCUGGGAAACUGGGUCUAAUACCGGAUAGGAGCCAUUUUUAGUGUGAUGGUUGGAAAGUUUUUUCGGUGUAGGAUGAGCUCGCGGCCUAUCAGCUUGUUGGUGGGGUAAUGGCCUACCAAGGCGGCGACGGGUAGCCGGCCUGAGAGGGUGGACGGCCACAUUGGGACUGAGAUACGGCCCAGACUCCUACGGGAGGCAGCAGUGGGGAAUAUUGCACAAUGGGCGCAAGCCUGAUGCGGCGACGCCGCGUGGGGGAUGACGGCCUUCGGGUUGGAAACUCCUUUCGCUAGGGACGAAGCUUUUUGUGACGGUACCUAGAUAAGAAGCACCGGCUAACUACGUG